RNAcentral lists this ribosomal RNA (497 nucleotides) under uncultured bacterium. RNAcentral's name for it is "partial 16S ribosomal RNA". It matches the Rfam family "Bacterial small subunit ribosomal RNA", at positions 28 to 507 of the family's 1533-position model. The record is from RNAcentral.
GACGAACGCUGGCGGCGUGCCUAAUACAUGCAAGUAGAACGCUGAAGAGAGGAGCUUGCUCUUCUUGGUUGAGUUUCGCACGGGUGAGUAACGCGUAGGUAACCUUCCUUGUAGCGGGGGAUAACUAUUGGAAACGAUAGCUAAUACCGCAUAACAAUGGAUGACCCAUGUCAUUUAUUUUAAAGGGGCAAAUGCUCCACUACAAGAUGGACCUGCGUUGUAUUAGCUAGUAGGUGCGGUAACGGCUCACCUCGGCGACGAUACAUAGCCGACCCGAGAGGGUGAACGGCCACACUGGGAAUGAGACACGGGCCAGACUCCUACGGGAGGGAGCAGUAGGGAAACUUCGGCAAUGGGGGGAAACCUGACCGAGCAAAGCCGCGGGAGUGAAGGAGGUUUUCGGAUCGUAAAGCUCUGUUGUGAGUCAAGAACGAGUGUGAGGGUGGAAAGUUCACACAGUGACGGUAGCUUACGAGAAAGGGACGGCUAACUACGUG